RNAcentral lists this ribosomal RNA (314 nucleotides) under uncultured eukaryote. RNAcentral's name for it is "partial 18S ribosomal RNA". It matches the Rfam family "Eukaryotic small subunit ribosomal RNA", at positions 1470 to 1796 of the family's 1831-position model. The record is from RNAcentral.
CCCUUAGAUGUUCUGGGCCGCACGCGCGCUACACUGAUGCAUUCAACGAGCCUAUCCUUGACCGACAGGUCCGGGUAAUCUUUGAAUCUGCAUCGUGACGGGGAUAGAUUAUUGCAAUUAUUAAUCUUCAACGAGGAAUGCCUAGUAGGCGCAAGUCAUCAGCUUGCGUCGAUUACGUCCCUGCCCUUUGUACACACCGCCCGUCGCUCCUACCGAUUGAUUGAUCCGGUGAAUUACAUAGAAUUUUGCGUUUUACAUGACGGAAGAUGAAGUGUUUUAAACCUUAUCAUUUAGAGGAAGGAGAAGUCGUGACA